GAUGAAGAACGUAGCGAAAUGCGAUAAGUAAUGUGAAUUGCAGAAUUCAGUGAAUCAUCGAAUCUUUGAACGCACAUUGCGCCCCUUGGUAUUCCGAGGGGCAUGCCUGUUCGAGCGUCAUUAUAACCCCUCAAGCUCAGCUUGGUGUUGGGGCCUGCUGCACUGGCAGCCCUUAAAAUCAGUGGCGGCGCCAUCUGGCUCUAAGCGUAGUAAUUCUUCUCGCUAUGGAGUCCUGGUGGAUGCUUGCCAUCAACCCCCAAUUUUUCUAUGGUUGACCUCGGAUCAGGAAGGGAUACCCGCUGAACUUAAGCAUAUCAAUAAGCGGAGGA
This 329-nucleotide unclassified non-coding RNA is filed under the name soil metagenome. Its description in RNAcentral is "partial contains 5.8S ribosomal RNA, internal transcribed spacer 2, and large subunit ribosomal RNA". The stretch from base 1 to 120 matches the Rfam family "5.8S ribosomal RNA", at positions 35 to 154 of the family's 154-position model. The record is from RNAcentral.